UGGGUUUGACAUGCUUGGAUGCUUGCUUGGAAACAGGUUAAGCUGCCCUUCGGGGUGAAACUUGCACAGGUGCUGCAUGGCUGUCGUCAGCUCGUGUCGUGAGAUGUCGGGUUAAGUCCUUUAACGAGCGAAACCCUUACCAUUAGUUGCCAGCGGGUCAUGCCGGGGACUCUAGUGGGACUGCCGGUGUUAAACCGGAGGAAGGUGGGGAUGACGUCAAGUCAUCAUGGCCUUUAUGCCCAGGGCUUCACACGUGCUACAAUGGCAAUCACAGAGCGACGCAAGACCGCGAGGUGGAGCAAAUCGCAAAAAGGUUGCCUCAGUUCGGAUUGCAGGCUGGCAACUCGCCUGCAUGAAGGUGGAAUCGCUAGUAAUCGCGUAUCAGCUACGACGCGGUGAAUGUGUUCCUGAGCC
Molecule: ribosomal RNA, 414 nt
Filed under: uncultured bacterium
Lineage: Bacteria
Description: bacterial SSU rRNA
Rfam family: Bacterial small subunit ribosomal RNA
Source: RNAcentral